UGAGGAAUAUUGGUCAAUGGGCGAGAGCCUGAACCAGCCAAGUAGCGUGCAGGAUGACGGCUCUAUGGGUUGUAAACUGCUUUUAUAUGGGAAUAAAGUGAGGGACGUGUCCCUUAUUGCAUGUACCAUACGAAUAAGGACCGGCUAAUUCCGUGCCAGCAGCCGCGGUAAUACGGAAGGUCCAGGCGUUAUCCGGAAUUAGUGGGUGUAAAGGGAGCGUAGGCUGUUUGAUAAGCGUGUUGUGAAAUGUAAGAGCUAAACUAUUAGAUUGACGCGCGAACUGGAGGACUAGAGGGAGAACAACGUAGGCGGAAUUCAUGGUGUAGCGAUAAAAUGCUUAGAUAUGUUGAAGAACUAAGAAUGCGAAGGAAGGUUACGGGAGCGCAACUGUAGCUGAAGCUCGAAGGAGCGGGUAUCGAGCAGG
RNAcentral lists this ribosomal RNA (424 nucleotides) under Verrucomicrobiota bacterium. Its description in RNAcentral is "Verrucomicrobia bacterium partial 16S ribosomal RNA". It matches the Rfam family "Bacterial small subunit ribosomal RNA", at positions 355 to 776 of the family's 1533-position model. The record is from RNAcentral. Lineage: Bacteria; Pseudomonadati; Verrucomicrobiota.